RNAcentral lists this long non-coding RNA (883 nucleotides) under Triticum aestivum (bread wheat). Its description in RNAcentral is "long non-coding RNA (TAES_LNC027903)". The record is from RNAcentral. Lineage: Eukaryota; Viridiplantae; Streptophyta; Magnoliopsida; Poales; Poaceae.
AUCUUCCACAUCUCUCUCCGGCAUCAACAAACUUCCCAGAUUGAAGGAGCUCGAGUUCAACUUCAACGGUGUCGGUGACAAAGUCCCUGAUGAGGUGAGGGAGGCCAUUAAAAAUCAUAAAAACAAGCCUAGUCUUAAACUUAAUGGGCCAGAAACACAAGACAAAGCAAAAGGAGAUGAACAAGAUGAUGACGAUGAUGCUGCAACAUUCCCUUUCUGCUGGAAGAAACAGGUUUGACGCUGGAAGGGCCUCUCCUUUGAUCCUAUCGUGUGCUAGUGUGGAUUGCAAUCUGUUCUACUUAUCUGUUGAUUUCUUUCUGCUGCGUGUUUACAUUAUGCAUGCAUUACAACUGAAGUAUGUCCGUUUACAUGCUCUACAUGAGUGCCCUAGUGCCUCUGAUUGAGCAUAAAUGGUUGUAUCUAUGCUUGGAUUUGAAUAUGUAUGGCUUUCAUAUGUACCGAACAUCGUUUGCAUUUGUGUACAGUAUCAUGUAAUAAAGUGUGAGGUUUGUGGACACAUUUGACUUCUUAUUAAUGUACAGCGUGAUAUCAGUGUGCUUUGAUUUGGUUUUGCGACUCAAAGAUGAACUGGUGUGUGUCAUGAUAUAGUCACCUGAUUAAUGUAGGCAUCCGUUUGCUUCAAAUCAGCUGAGUAGCUCUUGCAGUAAUGCCUGACUAUGUACUUGAAGCAGAACUUUAUGCAAGAUUAAGCAUGUGUGAUCGACAAUCUGUCUGUAUCUCCUGAUUGCCAGGCAAGCGCUAGCGCCCCAGGAAGAAUCGAAAUUGUUUCAGCUGUAUAUUGGUGUGCAUUUGGUUGGUAGUUUCUCCCAUUGUUUGCUGGUGGAGAAGCCAGUUCAUGAUAUAAAACUCAGUCAGACAGGGC